GUCCUACCCCCUGACGCUCCUACAAAUGUGCUCAUCCCCUGUUUUCCCCAAACCAGGAUUUGCCAUUGCCAAGCCCUGGGAGGCUGCGAGGAAGAGGAAGAUGCCUCAGGACACUGAUGCAGAGCAGGAGCUGAGCAUGCAGAGCAGGGAGGACAAAUGCCCGCGGCAGAACCUGGUGGAAGAGGCCGUUUUGAGCGGCUCCACGGCGCAGGAAGGCAACGGGGAGGAAAAGGCGCGGAGAUGCCACACGAGGAGGGGCUGCAAACGCAGCUGGCGGGCAUCUGAGGGGGAAAGAGGCCAGCCUGGGCUGGGAAGGCGGCCAAAGAUCAAGCCAGAGCUCGGAGCUGGUGCUCCACGAGCAGCUCCAUGAUAGGGAGAAGCCCCACACGUGCAGUGAGUGUGGGAAGAGCUUCAGGAGGAACUGCAACCUGAUCAGGCACCAGAAGACCCACACUGGGGAACGGCCCUACGCGUGUGGGGAGUGUGGGAAGAGCUUCAGCGAGAGCUCCACCCUGAUCACGCACCAGAGGACUCACACUGGGGAGAGGCCCUACGAGUGUGAUAAAUGCAGGAACAGGUUUGUGACCAGCUCCCAUCUCGUCCGGCACUAUCAGAGUCACACAGAGGAGAGGCCCUUCCAAUGCCCUGACUGUGGGAAGGGAUUCCAACGCAACUCCCACCUCAUCAGACACCAGCACAUCCACACGGGGGAGAAGCCCUAUGAGUGUGAUAAAUGCAGGAAGAGGUUUAAGAUGAGCUCCAGUCUCCUCCUGCACUAUCGGAUUCACACAGAGGAGAGGCCCUUCCGCUGCCCGGACUGUGGAAAGGGAUUCAAGCACAACUCCAUCCUUGUCAAGCACCGUCGCAUCCAUACUGGGGAGAGGCCCUACGAGUGUCCCCAGUGUGGGAAGAGCUUCUCCACGAACUCUACCUUGAACCAACACCAAUGGAGGCACCAGUAAGGCAAGUCCUGCGAGUGCGCCGAGUGCAAGCAGAGCUUUGUGCGCUGCUCCUGCUCCAUCCCCCACUGGAGGAACCACAUUGGGCACAGCCCUGGUGACCCACAUUCUGUGUGAUCCAUUUUGGGAACACACCUGUCUACUUCUCCUUUUGGUUUGGCCUUAAUUUUCUUCUGCUUCAUCUUCAUCCCUUAAAAACUGCCAAAACAGAGUUAAAUGAAUGAAAUUGAUCAAAGAUAUCUAAAGUCCCACCAUUUCACAGGUGUUUGAGGGGGAAUUUAGGAUUUGGGGACACAUUCUGUGUGGAGCGCCCCUGUUGCUAAGAGGCAGGAAUUUGAUCUCACCCUUCUUGUGUUGCUAAGAACUCCUCCCUUGACCCAAACGUGAACUCCACCCCUGGGAUACCCUAUAAAAACCCCACAGGCCUGCCUUUGCCCUGUCUUUUGGGAGUCAGAAAUGGAUUCUGGAGCUUUCUGGACCUGUCUCAUUUGUUCCUGGCACCGGCAGCUGCAGCCUCCCUGGACACCAUGAACUCUGGAGAAAGGAGGCAGCCAGUGAGGACAGGUCCUGGAUUGCAAGAUCAGUAUGUGUUCUGUUUGCCAUCUGUCAGAGGUGGGGCAGUUAUCUUCGGUUCAUUGGGCAGUUUAUCUCUUCCACAACCAAUCCUUUCUCCAACAGAUAUCCUCUGAUAAUGGAUGGGCCAUUAAUUAUUAAUUAUCUGCUGUUAAUGGGCCAUUGAGUGUCCCUGCAUGGCUGAUAAAAUGACAUUAUGUCAUUGGGUGAUGCUCCACCCAGGAGGAGGAGCCAAGCAUUCCUACCUGGAUAGACUCUGAGGUUUGGAACACCACAGCAACCUUUUCCCACUGGAUUGCCAGAGGAAGACCAGGCCCAUCUGCAGCACCCCUGGACUUUCAGAGGAAAACUCCACCCUUCUCCAGGGUCCCUGCUCCAACAGAACCACCCCUGGAACUGCAGGAGGGCUGCAGCCACCAUGGAAUGGGACUGUGCCAUCACCCUGACCUACAGGGUGUCAGGUCCUGUUCUGACUCUGUCAGUGGCUUUUUUUUCUUUGUACUACUGCAUUUGUAUUUUUACAUUUUCAUAAAAGGAACUGUUAUUCCUGCUCCCAUAUCUUUGCCUGAGAGCUCCUUAAUUUCAAAAUUAUAACAAUUCAGAGGGAGGGGGUUUGCAUUUUCCAUUCCAGGGGAGGCUCCUGCCUUCCUUAGCAGGCAGCUGGCUUUUCAAACCCAGACAAUAACAAAGUUACUUUAACACCACAGAUAUAAAAUCCAUUUUAAUAUCUGCAAAAAGCCAAUAUUAUGUGUCCAUAACAAUAAACCUCUUGCUGAGUGAU
Long non-coding RNA from Zonotrichia leucophrys gambelii, 2313 nucleotides. RefSeq lists it as uncharacterized. Lineage: Eukaryota; Metazoa; Chordata; Aves; Passeriformes; Passerellidae. The record is from RefSeq and is a predicted model, not a curated record. The transcript is spliced from 2 exons.